CAAUCAACCCAGGUGAUGAUUG
This 22-nucleotide small nuclear RNA is filed under the name Arabidopsis thaliana (thale cress). RNAcentral's name for it is "snRNA_03251". Lineage: Eukaryota; Viridiplantae; Streptophyta; Magnoliopsida; Brassicales; Brassicaceae. The record is from RNAcentral.